ACAGCUGUGCCUGGUGGGCUGACCAUGUGAGGGCUGCUGAGGGAAGGACUCUUCCUAGCGAGGUCCCAGAGGCAGAGGAGAUGUAACACAUGAAUUAACCAACGUGGCUCUCUAGGAUUACGUUACUGGAGGCCUCGGCUACCAGCACCCAGUGCAGAGGUCUCUGGCAGACAUCCUUGAGCACAGGCUACAGGGAAGCUUGCUGACUGAAGGACGUUAAUAGAAUUACUCAUCUGAGAAAGGGCCAACUUCUGUUAUUAUUCAUCUACCGGGCCCCCGGCUCUGGACUGCAUUUAGAGCACAACUAUACGCUGAAACGGUAUGGAGCUGCUCUUUCACUUCUCAAAAAUGAGGAUAUUUCUCUACAGCAAACUUCUGGCAUCUCAUCAUCACGCAGCAGACUCAUAAGGACUGCGCUGUGUUUGGGCUUUCCAUAGACUUUCGACUGUGCUGCAGAACAAACUUAGGGUUUCUUCUUCUGUUUCAUGUGCAGAAGAGCUACUGAGUUCACUGAAACAUGCAAGUAUAAAAUAUAGAACUUUGAUGAAAUCUCAGAGCAAGUAAUCACCCAUUUCUUCUAGCUGAGCCAAGAUUUCUGCCAUUAGUUGAAAGGGCUGCAGGAGGAGUACAGUGAGGCCAAAUCCAAAAGGCUGGGUUGGGAGACAAAUUUGUUGUGAUUGAAGAAAAACUGAUCAGGAAACUGAUGAGGCAAACUCAUUUCUUAGUUGUUAUUGGCAACAAGGCUCAACAGAGAAGGUGAUAAACACAUUUUUCAGGUGGUGAAAUAGGACUUGGGAGCAACAUUUUUUCUGUUGUAUCUACAACACAAUCUUUAACAGAUUUUUCCCUGUGAACUUGGAGCUGAGAAUCUCCUUUACAUGCCGAAACUCCCUUUCUGUUAAGCGGGAAUGGCUGGUGAUCUGAUGCUGUGUUACGUCUUUUUGUUACGUGAAAGCGAUUCUGGUAGUUUUUGCAUGCUGAUUUUAGAAAGCAGUCACAAACCUCUGCAGAAAUGUGCAAACAAAUGGAUUUCUCUUAGCUUUCUGCAUGAAAUGGUGCUUUAACAAUACGGAGUUCAACUCAAGUUAAAAUAUUUUUAAAGGCCAAAGCUAUGGAAAUAUUUUUUUCAUAUAGUUUACAAGUGACAGCUGGGUGAGAAGUGUUCUACCGCUGGUGAAGGAUGUGACUGACUCUGUUUCCUGUUGUCACUAGGCUUUUUGCCUGAAUGAAAUUCAUUGUUCCUCUAAGAGCGGCUGCCCUUCUCAUGAACUUUGUUAGGGAAUGCAAAAAUAUCCCGUUGGGAUUUUUUUAAAUAGGUACUUUUGCACUGAGGUACUUUAAAAAAAAAAUACAGAGUUCCCUUAGUUACAGAAUACCAGGUUGCAGGUGUGCUGCGACUUGAAAUAUAAAUUGCUACACCAGUGUCCUUAACAAUAAAACAAAACAAAAAAAACCCCUCAAACCCCCCCAACCACCAAAAUCCAGACUCUGCAAAUGCUUCAUUUAGAUGUUUUUGCCUGCUGACCUACUGCUGAUUAUCUACAAUCAAAAGCACCUAAACAGUACCAGCACAGCAAAUUCAUUUAAGUAUGCCUUGAAUGCACAGUGGAAGAGUUCAGCUGACUAUUUCAUAACAUGCAAGCACCUGAGUUAUGUUCAGCAGCAGUAAACUUACCAAGUUUUAUUGCGACUAUAAAACACGGUCUAAGAAAAAUUAAGCACUUGAACUGAAAUAUGAUAAACUCGCAAAAGGGUGGACCCGAUUCUGUGUCAGUCUCCAAGGGUGGAACUAUCUUAGAGCAACUUGUUAGUUAUUAUGUAAUAAAUGAAUAUAUUUUGGCAAAAUGUGCAUUUUUAGAAUUGAAAAAAGGAAUCCUGUUUUUACAUGCCACUUAAAAGACAAAAUAACUUUUAAAAUGGAAAUAAAAAUUUAUCUUGAUUUAUACUAUGUAAAACAGACACAGAGUGUGUACAACAGAGUAGGAUAAAACAUAAAUCUUCAGAGUUUACAGUUCUAUCUAAUAAUUUAUUCCAUUCAAACAAGCUUUAAUGCUGAGGUGAUUAAAACAAGGUUAGAGAGCCAUCAAAUGCUGUGAUGCCUUCCAUACUCAGAACUGCUUCUCACUUCAGUCCAGCUCCACCUGUUAACUCAUGUCUUCAUUUCCCUUAAGGGCAGAUGGUAGAUUAUGCAAACCACCCAGAACUCAUUUGGGAGGAACAUCCCGGAGGGGUUAUCGGGCACACGUCACUUCCCGCUCUGGCUUGAGCAGUGAAUGAAGCUCAAGUCUCCUGGGGCUACCAUGAGAUAUGCCACCAAACACCCAAGUUAAAUUUAUGUGAUCUCUCAAUGAACAGUAGGGGGAGAGCGUCCAGCUCUUAGCUCUGCGAUUAACAUGCCCCUUGCAAAAAUACGUCCACAGGAAAUGGAACUGCCAGUGGUUCUGUGAUCCCAGGAAAUGACAUAAUGACUGAUGUCCUGGUGAUGUAACAGACUAUGAACACUUGAG
This is a long non-coding RNA of Aptenodytes forsteri (emperor penguin), 2507 nucleotides long. RefSeq lists it as uncharacterized. NCBI's taxonomy places the organism in Eukaryota, Metazoa, Chordata, Aves, Sphenisciformes, Spheniscidae. The transcript has 4 exons. The record is from RefSeq and is a predicted model, not a curated record.